GCACAUUUCCUGCCACUUCAAAGGAAUGGGAAAAUCAGGAUUGGUCAUUAGGGCCUUCUUGACACACUCCUUGCCAGCUGAGCACAUGUGGAGCCAUCUGUAUUUUUCUGUGGCGAUUAUGAUGUCAAGCUCAAUAGGAACAACCUUCAUGCGCACACCUACAAGCUGACAGGAGUCGAUCUCAGAAACACACAGAGGUGGAAGCCAAGAUUAAGGAAUCAGACUUGGACUACUCACUCCCUACCCUCUUCUUGGCUGAGUGUGUCCUGGUGUACAUGAACACCAGCAAGUCUUCACAGCUCUUACAGUGGAUUGCAGAAAAGUUUAAGUCUGCCUUCUUUGUAAAUUAUGAAAUGGUCAAUCUUGGUGACAGAUUUGGAGAAUUUAUGGAAAAGC
Penaeus monodon (black tiger shrimp) is the source of this 396-nucleotide long non-coding RNA. RefSeq lists it as uncharacterized. The transcript is spliced from 3 exons. NCBI's taxonomy places the organism in Eukaryota, Metazoa, Arthropoda, Malacostraca, Decapoda, Penaeidae. The record is from RefSeq and is a predicted model, not a curated record.